UAGGGAAUCUUCCACAAUGGGCGCAAGCCUGAUGGAGCAACACCGCGUGAGUGAAGAAGGGUUUCGGCUCGUAAAGCUCUGUUGUUAAAGAAGAACNCGUAUGAGAGUAACUGUUCAUACGUUGACGGUAUUUAACCAGAAAGUCACGGCUAACUACGUCNCG
Molecule: ribosomal RNA, 163 nt
Filed under: uncultured bacterium
Lineage: Bacteria
Description: partial 16S rRNA
Rfam family: Bacterial small subunit ribosomal RNA
Source: RNAcentral